Molecule: long non-coding RNA, 827 nt
Filed under: Homo sapiens (human)
Lineage: Eukaryota; Metazoa; Chordata; Mammalia; Primates; Hominidae
Description: HSALNT0355972
Source: RNAcentral
UUAUAGAACCACUAGUAACUCAUAGACUCUUCCUGUUAUGUGAAAUAAAUGAAGACCAGCCAACUAAGAAAGGCAAAGGCUAUGUAUUCUGAGCUCAUCUGGAUCAGAGGAGUCAGCACUGUCAUUUGUGUUUGGCAGAGACUGAAAGGCAGAUGUUCGUCUGAAGAUUUCAAAGCCCACUGCUGAUUUAAGGUCAUUCACAUUCAGCCAUGAAGCUGCUCUGAAGACACAGGAACUGCAUAGCUCCCUACUGGGAAUGUCAAGGGCUGUGAAAGGUCUAAGGUUUUAUCCUACUUGCAACCAACAAGCUAUGCAGCCACAGUUUUAUGGAUGCUGUCAAAAGACAUGACACUCCUGGCACUUCAAAUGCAUCAAAGGUCCAGAGAGAAGCUUCUUCUGGUCACCUUGAUCUUGUGAUGCAAGGCAGGUGGGAGCAAGGGCUCCACCUCUGCAGACACAGAGAUGACGGGGUCGCCAUGCCGGCGUUUUAGUCCCGGUUUCCUCUGCUCGAGUAGUUGGUGGCCUCCUGCCUGUUCCCUAACAUAACUUCACUUUCCUUACCUGCAAAACGAAAUUAGUAUUUCCUCCCUCACAAGGUGCUUGAUGCCCUUCCCCUUGCGUUUACUUUGCCUGAGAGACUAUAUCAUAUCUAUGAUUUUGUGAAUGGGGCAAAAGGAAUUGAGAGUGUCAGGGUAUACCUUAUAAAUAAGCCACUAAAGGUUACAUCCUCAUUCCACAAACUGACCUAAACAAUUUGGCUGUCACUAAUAGAUUAUUUUGGUCAGUUAUGGCAUUUAGAGGGAGAAGAGAGAGUAUAUAUAUAUGGG